UAAAAAGAACCUAUAAUAGGGUUUAAUUUCGAAUUAAAUUUAGAUUUACAAUAUCCUUUUUAU
This 63-nucleotide transfer RNA is filed under the name Vorticeros sp. n. MW-2019. RNAcentral describes it as "tRNA-Arg". Lineage: Eukaryota; Metazoa; Platyhelminthes; Prolecithophora; Plagiostomidae. The record is from RNAcentral.